GACAGGCGGGCCCCGCGAGGUUUGGUCGAGGCCGACUAAAACCCCCGCCGCACCCAUCAUCCCACCACCACCACACCACUCGAACGAACCUCUCGCCAUUUGCCAACAGACCUCAGAUCUCGCUCUCGCCUCCUUGCGCAGCCGUCGUCGAGAGCAGCAAGAAAAUGGCGGCGAGCAACCUCGAGGGUGUGCUCCUGGGGAUGGGAAACCCCCUUCUCGACAUCUCCGCCGUCGUCGACGAGGCCUUCCUCGCUAAGUAUGAUGUGAAGCCGAACAAUGCCAUUCUUGCCGAGGACAAGCACUUGCCCAUGUACGAUGAGUUGUCCAGCAAGGACAAUGUUGAAUAUAUUGCUGGAGGAGCCACGCAGAACUCUAUCAGGGUUGCCCAAUGGAUGCUUCAAACUCCUGGUGCAACAAGUUACAUGGGUUGCAUUGGAAAGGACAAGUAUGGUGAGGAGAUGAAGAGCGCCGCUAAAGCUGCAGGAGUUACUGCUCAUUACUAUGAGGAUGAGGCUGCUCCUACAGGCACAUGUGCUGUCUGUGUUGUUGGUGGCGAAAGGUCAUUGAUUGCAAACUUAUCUGCUGCGAACUGCUACAAAUCUGAGCAUCUAAAGAGGCCAGAGAACUGGGCACUAGUUGAGAAAGCGAAAUACAUCUACAUUGCUGGCUUUUUCCUUACGGUGUCCCCUGAAUCUAUUCAGCUUGUUGCUGAGCAUGCUGCUGCAAAUAACAAGGUUUUCUUGAUGAACCUCUCCGCUCCCUUUAUCUGUGAGUUUUUCCGUGAUGCCCAAGAGAAGGUUCUUCCGUAUUCUGACUACAUCUUUGGAAAUGAAACCGAGGCAAGGAUCUUCUCUAAAGUCCGAGGGUGGGAGACUGAGAAUGUCGAGGAGAUCGCUUUGAAGAUCUCACAACUGCCUCUGGCUUCUGGAAAACAAAAGAGGAUUGCUGUGAUUACUCAGGGUGCUGAUCCAGUAGUUGUGGCUGAGGAUGGGAAGGUAAAAACAUUCCCUGUGAUCCUAUUGCCCAAGGAGAAGCUUGUUGACACCAAUGGCGCUGGUGAUGCGUUUGUUGGCGGCUUCCUCUCUCAGUUGGUUCAAGGGAAGAGCAUCGAGGACUGCGUAAAGGCCGGUUGCUACGCAGCAAACGUUAUCAUCCAGCAAUCUGGCUGCACUUACCCUGAGAAGCCUGACUUCAACUAGACCAAAUUCAGCGAUUCUACGGAAAGCAACACUUAACCGCUUGAUGGUUCGGCUUGUUCUCCCUGUAUUAUUUUGAGGCUUUCCAUCUGAUCCGGCCUAAUUUUCGGCCGUGGAUAUCUGUUGUACUGCUAUAAUCGGUACCUUUAUCUUUGGUAUAAGGCAUGGUUGCCAUUAUAUGGGGUGUUACUUGUGGCCGUCUUAUCCAAGUAUAUGCCGAAGCGUGGUCAGACCGACGAUAGUGCUUGAAGGCAGUGGAAUUUUAUGGACGUGUUUGUUUUGUGAGAAGUAUGGCAUAGUGUGGCUAAUGGUAUGUCUGUCAGUGAACCAAGGGCAUUAUUUGCCUGUCGUGGCUAGAAAUAGUGCAGUGCGAAUGUAAGUUGCUCCUUGUGACAAACUGCGUGUUCAGAUCAAGAAGCCCCUGCUGCCUGCUACAAGGACAGGUUCCAACUAUAUAUAGUUCGCUGUGCUAGGUUUGUUUCCCUUAUGACAAACAUCGUGUGUGC
RNAcentral lists this ribosomal RNA (1702 nucleotides) under Triticum aestivum (bread wheat). RNAcentral's name for it is "partial small subunit ribosomal RNA". Lineage: Eukaryota; Viridiplantae; Streptophyta; Magnoliopsida; Poales; Poaceae. The record is from RNAcentral.